This is a long non-coding RNA of Manacus vitellinus (golden-collared manakin), 1345 nucleotides long. RefSeq lists it as uncharacterized. The record is from RefSeq and is a predicted model, not a curated record. The transcript is spliced from 5 exons. NCBI's taxonomy places the organism in Eukaryota, Metazoa, Chordata, Aves, Passeriformes, Pipridae.
GCCCCCGGGAGCGCCCUUCCACGGGGAUCCCGUGAUGGCGAGGGCUGCCCGGGGGCGGGGGUUGCCCGUGUGCGGCAGCUCUGCGGCCUGUGAGCUGUUCCUCUGUGCCUCGGCCUCCGGCGUGGGAGCGGCAGCCUGGGGAGCCGAGUCUGGCAGCAAGUGAAGUUCAACAUGAGUUUGUUACUGGCUUUGGGAAUCUUCAGUCUGGACUCUGCCACGCUGUUGCCUUGCAAGCAGAAAGAUGUCACGUGAAUUCUAGAGCUACAGAAGUAAAUAUUUCGUACUGUACUUAAAGGUGACAUCAGAUGACCAUCUCCACUGUUUCCCAACCUUGUGUAUGCACUCAGAGCCAACAGUAGAGUCCACUGCUAGUCUUCUCAUUUUUGCUUGAGAGAUCAUGGGAGAGACUGUGGAGAGCUUGAAAAGAGCAGCCUGGAAUGUGGAGUUCUAAUGCACUUGGAAAUGCUUCCAUGGCCCUUCCUGCUUCUCAGAAAUACCGCUUGAUUCAAUAAUAUUGCAGAGAAGUACCUGUUUGCUGAAUAUGUCUGAAUAAUCCUGGAAUGAAGUUCAGCUUCUCCAAGAAGGGAAAUCUAUCCUUUAACCUGACCAGUGUUAGAGGAGCAAUACCUCAAAUAAACCAGCAUGAAGGACAGACUUGGUGCUGGCCUGUGGCCUAAUUAUGUAGAGCGCUGAGGCUCAGCAGGGAAGCCAAUUGACAGACUUUUCCAAUACCAACUUCAACAGUGGAAACUCUGGAUUUUGAUUUGAAAUGACCUAUUACUGCAAUCAAUUGAUACAAACGUUUUUCAAACUAACAAACAUGAAUAACCUAAAGACUGAGUUGCAUUAUUUACCGUGUUUUAGGGUAAGAGAUGACUCAAGUAACAAGAUGGCAAUCAAAGCAUCUUCCUGAAGUACUGUGUGUCUUAAACUUAGCUUGGUAUGAGCCUUAGACAGUGAAAUCCUAAGAGAUCAAUAUAAGCAUGUCAGAAAUAAAAAAUACUGCAGAAGUGAAUGCAAUGUGUAUUGCCCUGUUUCAAGCACUUGUGUAAAUCAAAAGUUAACACUGAAGUGUUUUCAUACUUCAGCUGUGCAGUUAUACUUGCCACUGACAAUAUACACAUUAUGCUAUGAAAGCAGUAGAAGUUGGCAUAUUAUCUAUUGUUAAUACUUGUUUUGCUCCCAUAAUAAAGCUGUGGAUAUUUAAAUCCCAUUUUUGUUUUUCUAGAUAGCUUCAAUAAUAAUACUUGUUUUGUAAAUCACUGUUGUAUUUUUUGCUUGGAAAAGUUCUUUGAACUUGGAUUUCUUUUGGCAUUCAUAAGCGAUAAAUAAGAUCCUUUAUGCU